GCGGAUGCGGCAUCAUCAAGAUUCACAAGCUUUAAGGCUUGAGUGAGAGGGGUGGCAUACGGUCACCUCCUUUAAGGCUUGAGUGAGAG
Molecule: unclassified non-coding RNA, 89 nt
Filed under: Populus trichocarpa (black cottonwood)
Lineage: Eukaryota; Viridiplantae; Streptophyta; Magnoliopsida; Malpighiales; Salicaceae
Description: precursor microRNA ptr-MIR172d
Source: RNAcentral